Molecule: ribosomal RNA, 303 nt
Filed under: uncultured bacterium
Lineage: Bacteria
Description: partial 16S ribosomal RNA
Rfam family: Bacterial small subunit ribosomal RNA
Source: RNAcentral
AGCAGUAGCCGCGGUAAUACGUAGGUCCCGAGCGUUGUCCGGAUUUAUUGGGCGUAAAGGGAGCGCAGGCGGUUUAGUAAGUCUGAAGUUAAAGGCAUUGGCUCAACCAAUGUAUGCUUUGGAAACUGUUAGACUUGAGUGCAGAAGGGAAGAGUGGAAUUCCAUGUGUAGCGGUGAAAUGCGUAGAUAUAUGGAGGAACACCGGUGGCGAAAGCGGCUCUCUGGUCUGUCACUGACGCUGAGGCUCGAAAGCGUGGGUAGCGAACAGGAUUAGAUACCCGUGUAGUCCCUGUCUCUUAUACA